UACGUAGGGGGCUAGCGUUGUCCGGAAUCAUUGGGCGUAAAGGGUUCGCAGGCGGUUAUGCAAGCCAGAUGUAAAAGGCAGUGGCUUAACUAGUGUAAGCAUUUGAAACUGCAUAUCUUGAGAAGAGUAGAGGUAAGAGGAAUUUUUAGUGUAGCGGUGAAAUGCGUAGAUAUUAAAAAGAAUACCGGUGGCGAAGGCGACUUACUGGGCUCAGACUGACGCUGAGGUACGAAAGCGUGGGGAGCAAAGGGG
RNAcentral lists this ribosomal RNA (252 nucleotides) under uncultured bacterium. RNAcentral describes it as "partial 16S ribosomal RNA". It matches the Rfam family "Bacterial small subunit ribosomal RNA", at positions 524 to 776 of the family's 1533-position model. The record is from RNAcentral.